AUGAAACUUUUGAUUCUUUUUACGUUUUUUGGCCACAAGGCACCUACGCGUCGCAGGAUCCGCUGCGGCUCGGUCACCCCUCCCUUCUUCUUCGUCACAGGCCCGUCCCUUGUCCUCCCGGGGUCCGGCGCGACCCGAGCCCCCUGUACCUCCCCGUCCCUCGUCCUGCCGGGGUCCGGCGCGACCCCAGCUCACUGUACCUCCCCGUCAGGCGUCCUCCCGGGGUCAGGCGCGACCCCAGCUCCCUGUACCUCCCCGUCAGGCGUCCUCCCGGGGUCCGGCGCGACCCCGGCCCACGGAACCUCCCCGUCGGGCGUCCUGCCGGGGUCCGGCGCGACCCCGGCCCACGGAACCUCCCCGUCAGGCGUCCUCCCGGGGUCAGGCGCGACCCCAGCCCCAUGUACCUCCCCGUCCCGCAUCCUCCCGGGGUCAGGCGCGACCCCAGCUCCCUGUACCUCCCCGUCAGGCGUCCUCCCGGGGUCCGGCGCGACCCCGGCCCACGGAACCUCCCCGUCGGGCGUCCUGCCGGGGUCAGGCGCGACCCCAGCUCCCUGUACCUCCCCGUCAGGCGUCCUCCCGGGGUCCGGCGCGACCCCGGCCCACGGAACCUCCCCGUCGGGCGUCCUCCCGGGGUCAGGCGCGACCCCAGCCCCAUGUACCUCCCCGUCCCGCAUCCUCCCGGGGUCAGGCGCGACCCCAGCUCCCUGUACCUCCCCGUCAGGCGUCCUCCCGGGGUCCGGCGCGACCCCAGCCCCAUGUACCUCCCCGUCCCGCAUCCUCCCGGGGUCAGGCGCGACCCCAGCUCCCUGUACCUCCCCGUCAGGCGUCCUCCCGGGGUCCGGCGCGACCCCGGCCCACGGAACCUCCCCGUCGGGCGUCCUGCCGGGGUCAGGCGUCCUGCCGGGGUCCGGCGCGACCCCAGCUCCCUGUACCUCCCCGUCAGGCGUCCUCCCGGGGUCCGGCGCGACCCCGGCCCACGGAACCUCCCCGUCAAGCGUCCUGCCGGGGUCUUGGCGCCGCGUUAGAAACCCAUUCUUUCGUAGCUCUCAUUGUGGCGUUCGUGUGCAGCCUUGUUCAUUGUGGCCAUUUGCUAAAUUUUCGUGCCCAGAGCGAGUCGCUGCGUGUGAAGAGCCAGUGGCAUCGAUGUUUCCACAGCGAGUCACUGAUCAGCGCGCUGCUGUUGGCAGGUUUAGUUGA
RNAcentral lists this long non-coding RNA (1197 nucleotides) under Betta splendens (Siamese fighting fish). Its description in RNAcentral is "lncRNA (ENSBSLG00000009705.1)". Lineage: Eukaryota; Metazoa; Chordata; Actinopteri; Anabantiformes; Osphronemidae. The record is from RNAcentral.